Molecule: non-coding RNA, 74 nt
Organism: Podarcis lilfordi (Lilford's wall lizard)
Lineage: Eukaryota; Metazoa; Chordata; Lepidosauria; Squamata; Lacertidae
Source: the annotation of a GenBank genome assembly
GCCUGGGAUUACUCAGUUGGUAGAGUAUGAGACUUUUAAUAAUGGGGAUGUGGGUUCCAGCCCCAUGUUGGGUA